This 60-nucleotide transfer RNA is filed under the name Sinocentrus brevicornis. RNAcentral describes it as "tRNA-Ser". The record is from RNAcentral. Lineage: Eukaryota; Metazoa; Arthropoda; Insecta; Hemiptera; Membracidae.
AGAGUAAUUAUAAGUAGCCGCUAACUAACUUUAUUGCGAUUAAAUAAUCGUUUUACUCUU